UGCCCCUGGCAAUAGGCAGAGAGACACCUUAUUGGUGGUGGUGUUCUUAUAGAGAGGGGACAGAGCCAAUGGUCAUCCUUUGCUCAUCCUAACUUAGUACCUGGCUUGGUGACCAAAGCUGUUUUAUUCCUAGGGCACAUUA
Molecule: small nucleolar RNA, 142 nt
Organism: Onychomys torridus (southern grasshopper mouse)
Lineage: Eukaryota; Metazoa; Chordata; Mammalia; Rodentia; Cricetidae
Product: small nucleolar RNA SNORA48
Exons: 1
Source: RefSeq, a predicted model, not a curated record